Molecule: unclassified non-coding RNA, 923 nt
Filed under: Hevea brasiliensis (rubber tree)
Lineage: Eukaryota; Viridiplantae; Streptophyta; Magnoliopsida; Malpighiales; Euphorbiaceae
Source: RNAcentral
UGAUGAUAUUUACUUGCUCUGAUUAAUACUGUGUUGCUUAUGUCAACACCUAAUUGGUUUGUUGAGUAAUUUAAGUCAUUAUAUUUGUUAGGAAAGGGUCCAUCUUAAUAUGGGUUUAUAUCUAAAGCUUCACAAUCUCAUUAAUUUUGGUCACUACAGAGAAAGGCUUUUGUUUUCUUUUUGGUUCUUUAUUAAGAGCUUCUAAUGCAGGAAUUCUUAAUUUGAUUGGUUAUGUGGUAUGAGAAUCUUUUCUUUUUUUUUUUUAAGGAAAACUAUGAGAUAUAAAAACAAAGGAAAAAGAAUUGAAUACCUGCUGGUAUGCCAUAGGAUCUUAAUGUUAAUUGUGAAAAAUAAAUAUUGAAAUGCAAGUGAAUAUGAAGCUCAAUAUAUUGCAUAUAAAAGGUAUACAUUAUUAUGAUACUCUGCUCCUGUCAGAUGGAAAUCUCCCGUGGGUCAUUUUAUAUAUUUUGGGAAUGUGCAAAAUGAGACAAACAACCUGUAAAUCACACUUUUAUCGUGUUGGUCAUGGAACUUCCUCUUUCGAGAUAGUGUGUUAGUUAUCCUAGCUCUGUGUUUUGUCGGAUUUGAAGUUAUUAGAUUUGUCGUGUGGAUACGUGCCAAUGUUGCUCUUAGUGGAAUGAUUUGUUAUUCUUUUGUUCAUCCUUGGACUUGACUUUGCAAAUCCAACAUGUGGAUGGAGGAUCUAUGUCAUGUGGUCUUGAAAUGUCAUUUUGAACACUUGACUUUUAUUACCAUUAUUGCAUUGAAAUAAAUUAUCUAUCGUUUUGGAGUGGGUACCUGGUAAUAAAACUUUUAGCCUAAAGCUUACUAAUGUCAUAUGCAUUAAAUUGAAAUAUUUCGGCAGCCAUAUGUAUCUAUCACAGAAGUAGUCUUUGUAAUAUUAAAUACUUUGGGUGGUUGGA